Molecule: ribosomal RNA, 484 nt
Filed under: uncultured bacterium
Lineage: Bacteria
Description: partial 16S ribosomal RNA
Rfam family: Bacterial small subunit ribosomal RNA
Source: RNAcentral
AUUGAACGCUGGCGGCAGGCCUAACACAUGCAAGUCGGGCGGAGGAAGGGAGCUUGCUCCUGGAUUCAGCGGCGGACGGGUGAGUAAUGCCUAGGAAUCUGCCUGGUGGUGGGGGAUAACGUCCGGAAACGGGCGCUAAUACCGCAUACGUCCUGAGGGAGAAAGUGGGGGAUCUUCGGACCUCACGCUAUCAGAUGAGCCUAGGUCGGAUUAGCUAGUUGGUGGGGUAAAGGCCUACCAAGGCGACGAUCCGUAACUGGUCUGAGAGGAUGAUCAGUCACACUGGAACUGAGACACGGUCCAGACUCCUACGGGAGGCAGCAGUGGGGAAUAUUGGACAAUGGGCGAAAGCCUGAUCCAGCCAUGCCGCGUGUGUGAAGAAGGUCUUCGGAUUGUAAAGCACUUUAAGUUGGGAGGAAGGGCAGUAAGUUAAUACCUUGCUGUUUUGACGUUACCAACAGAAUAAGCACCGGCUAACUUCGUG